ACCUGGUGGGCUCAGUCCGUAGAGCAUGUGACUCUUGAUCUUAGGGCUGUGAGUUCAAGCUCCGCAUUGGGUG
Molecule: transfer RNA, 73 nt
Filed under: Ailuropoda melanoleuca (giant panda)
Lineage: Eukaryota; Metazoa; Chordata; Mammalia; Carnivora; Ursidae
Rfam family: tRNA
About the family: Transfer RNA (tRNA) molecules are approximately 80 nucleotides in length. Their secondary structure includes four short double-helical elements and three loops (D, anti-codon, and T loops).
Source: Rfam by way of RNAcentral